Molecule: transfer RNA, 74 nt
Filed under: Loxodonta africana (African savanna elephant)
Lineage: Eukaryota; Metazoa; Chordata; Mammalia; Proboscidea; Elephantidae
Rfam family: tRNA
About the family: Transfer RNA (tRNA) molecules are approximately 80 nucleotides in length. Their secondary structure includes four short double-helical elements and three loops (D, anti-codon, and T loops).
Source: Rfam by way of RNAcentral
CCCUGGGUGGUAUAAACAGUUAAAGCACUCAGCUGCUGACUGAAAGGUUGGCGGUUCAAGUCCACCCCCAGGCA